Long non-coding RNA from Amphimedon queenslandica, 454 nucleotides. RefSeq lists it as uncharacterized. NCBI's taxonomy places the organism in Eukaryota, Metazoa, Porifera, Demospongiae, Haplosclerida, Niphatidae. The transcript is spliced from 2 exons. The record is from RefSeq and is a predicted model, not a curated record.
AUACUCUAUUAUCUACGGAUCAAAGAUAAUAGAGUAAGCUAUGCCAACUACCAUGUCUGAUCCAGGACUGUUGCCCAAAAUUACUGGAUCAGGAUAAAUUACUGUUACAGAAUGCUCAUGGUGUUAUUGAUGCCCGUGAGUCCAGUAUCAACAGUUUAGAGUAUAACCUCACCAAUGAGAGAGGGAGGGUCAAGGAACUGACCAAAAGGAUGCCAUCACUAGAGACCAGACUAUCAGGAAUAAUGGAGGAGACCAGCUCAGUGAAGAGACAGCUGGAGGAGAAGACAGGACAAUUACUAUUAACAAGGAAACAACUUAAAAUAGCAAGAGAGAAGAACUCAGAGAUUGAUAAGAAGAUGGAGAGUUUGGAGCAGAUGAGAGAGAGACUGAGUAACAUGGGCAUGGAGAACAGGACACUGAAGGAAUUCCUAACAGCAAAGACAGCAAUGGUGGA